Molecule: long non-coding RNA, 672 nt
Organism: Meriones unguiculatus (Mongolian gerbil)
Lineage: Eukaryota; Metazoa; Chordata; Mammalia; Rodentia; Muridae
Exons: 2
Source: RefSeq, a predicted model, not a curated record
ACCAGCCAGCAGGAGACCGCCCACACUCUCCCCUUAAAGAACCAACCCAAUUUGGCUAAAGCGGUAAGAAAGAGGAGUCACCUCUCCUGAUGAGCCUGCUGUUGGCCUGGCUGACGUCUGAUCAUGUCUAAUAACAUCUCUUGUUUACGGACGGGCAAAGUUCUCUACUGCCAUUAUCGCGAUAACCUGGCCUCUGGCUCUCAAAUCCCCACAUUCUGUGAAGCUGCAGGUCAAAGGGGAAGCCGGAUCCCCUGGAACUGGAGUUAGGAGCCGACAUGGGUGCUGUAAGCGGAGCUGUGGUCCUCUGGAAGAGCAGGAAAUGCUUCUAAGCCUUGGGCUGUCUCCCCAGACCCUUGGAGUAGCCUCAUCGCCGACGGAGAAACAACUUGGUUGCUUUUCUGGAAUGUUCCGAGAAAAGACGAAGACCCUUAGCCUUCCGCCUAUAUCCAAUCUGGCUGUCUAUGGUCCUGUGCCCACGUGACUCCACCUGCGCUUUCUCCCUGGGGGCUGACUCUGCGGUUGCCAUCCGAUUUUCUUCUUCCUCUCUGUUGUAGAAAAAAAAAUUUAAAAAGUGUUGGGUUAUAUAAUGUUUAUUAUUAGCCCUAAGAUUAUCAUGGCAGUAUUAUCCUGCUAUCACAAAUAAUAAAACACAGACACCUGUUAGAUUUUAAA